Molecule: ribosomal RNA, 315 nt
Filed under: uncultured bacterium
Lineage: Bacteria
Description: bacterial SSU rRNA
Rfam family: Bacterial small subunit ribosomal RNA
Source: RNAcentral
GAUGAACGCUAGCGAUAGGCCUAACACAUGCAAGUCGAGGGGCAGCACAUGACGUAGCAAUACAGAUGGUGGCGACCGGCGCACGGGUGAGUAACACGUAUGCAACCUACCUUCAACAGGAGAAUAACCCGUCGAAAGACGGACUAAUACUCCAUAACACAGGGAUCCCGCAUGGGAAUAUUUGUUAAAGAUUUAUCGGUUGAAGAUGGGCAUGCGCUCCAUUAGCUAGUUGGUGAGGUAACGGCUCACCAAGGCAACGAUGGAUAGGGGAACUGAGAGGUUUAUCCCCCACACUGGUACUGAGACACGGACCAG